AUUGAACGCUGGCGGCAGGCUUAACACAUGCAAGUCGAGCGGGGUGAUGGUGCUUGCACUAUCACUUAGCGGCGGACGGGUGAGUAAUGCUUAGGAAUCUGCCUAUUAGUGGGGGACAACAUCUCGAAAGGGAUGCUAAUACCGCAUACGUCCUACGGGAGAAAGCAGGGGAUCACUUGUGACCUUGCGCUAAUAGAUGAGCCUAAGGCGGAUUAGCUAGUUGGUGGGGUAAAGGCCUACCAAGGCGACGAUCUGUAGCGGGUCUGAGAGGAUGAUCCGCCCAACUGGGACUGAGACACGGCCCAGACUCCUACGGGAGGCAGCAGUGGGGAAUAUUGGACAAUGGGGGGAACCCUGAUCCAGCCAUGCCGCGUGUGUGAAGAAGGCCUUAUGGUUGUAAAGCACUUUAAGCGAGGAGGAGGCUCUUUUGGUUAAUACCCAAGAUGAGUGGACGUUACUCGCAGAAUAAGCACCGGCUAACUCUGUGCCAGCAGCCGCGGUAA
Molecule: ribosomal RNA, 503 nt
Filed under: uncultured bacterium
Lineage: Bacteria
Description: partial 16S ribosomal RNA
Rfam family: Bacterial small subunit ribosomal RNA
Source: RNAcentral